CACGUAGGGUGCGAGCGUUGUCCGGAAUUAUUGGGCGUAAAGAGCUCGUAGGCGGUGUGUCGCGUCGGCCGUGAAAACCUGCAGCUUAACUGUGGGCGUGCGGUCGAUACGGGCAUCACUGGAGUUCGGCAGGGGAGACUGGAAUUCCUGGUGUAGCGGUGAAAUGCGCAGAUAUCAGGAGGAACACCGGUGGCGAAGGCGGUGGUCUGGGCCGACACUGACGCUGUAGAGCGAAAGCGUGGGGAGCGAACAGG
RNAcentral lists this ribosomal RNA (254 nucleotides) under uncultured bacterium. RNAcentral describes it as "partial 16S ribosomal RNA". It matches the Rfam family "Bacterial small subunit ribosomal RNA", at positions 524 to 776 of the family's 1533-position model. The record is from RNAcentral.